GACGAACGCUAGCGGCAGGCCUAAUACAUGCAAGCCGAACGGUAAUCCUGACGGCAACGUCAGGACUAGAGUGGCGUAAGGGUGCGUAACACGUAUGCAAUCUGCCCUCAACUGGGGGGAUAGCUCCCGGAAACGGGAAUUAAUACCCCAUAACAUGCCAGCGAGGCAUCUUGCUGGCAUUAAAGCUACGGCGGUUGAGGAUGAGCAUGCGUCUGAUUAGCUAGUUGGUGAGGUAACGGCUCACCAAGGCGAUGAUCAGUAGGGGAACUGAGAGGUUGAUCCCCCCANACUGGCACUGAGACACGGGCCAGACUCCUACGGGAGCAGCAGUAGGGAAUAUUGGGACAAUGGGGUNCGAGCCUGAUCCAGCCAUGCCGCGUGCAGGGAAGAAGGGCCUUCUGGGGUUGUAAACUGGCUUUUAU
Molecule: ribosomal RNA, 422 nt
Filed under: uncultured bacterium
Lineage: Bacteria
Description: bacterial SSU rRNA
Rfam family: Bacterial small subunit ribosomal RNA
Source: RNAcentral